Molecule: ribosomal RNA, 253 nt
Filed under: uncultured bacterium
Lineage: Bacteria
Description: partial 16S ribosomal RNA
Rfam family: Bacterial small subunit ribosomal RNA
Source: RNAcentral
UACGAAGGGGGCUAGCGUUGCUCGGAAUCACUGGGCGUAAAGCGCACGUAGGCGGGUCUUUAAGUCAGGGGUGAAAUCCUGGAGCUCAACUCCAGAACUGCCUUUGAUACUGAGGAUCUCGAGUCCGGGAGAGGUGAGUGGAACUCCGAGUGUAGAGGUGAAAUUCGUAGAUAUUCGGAAGAACACCAGUGGCGAAGGCGGCUCACUGGCCCGCUACUGACGCUGAGGUGCGAAAGCGUGGGGAGCAAACAGG